RNAcentral lists this ribosomal RNA (803 nucleotides) under Fusarium avenaceum. Its description in RNAcentral is "SSU rRNA". It matches the Rfam family "Eukaryotic small subunit ribosomal RNA", at positions 72 to 881 of the family's 1831-position model. The record is from RNAcentral. Lineage: Eukaryota; Fungi; Ascomycota; Sordariomycetes; Hypocreales; Nectriaceae.
CAUUAUACAGCGAAACUGCGAAUGGCUCAUUAUAUAAGUUAUCGUUUAUUUGAUAGUACCUUACUACUUGGAUAACCGUGGUAAUUCUAGAGCUAAUACAUGCUAAAAAUCCCGACUUCGGAAGGGAUGUAUUUAUUAGAUUAAAAACCAAUGCCCUUCGGGGCUCACUGGUGAUUCAUGAUAACUCCUCGAAUCGCAUGGCCUUGUGCCGGCGAUGGUUCAUUCAAAUUUCUUCCCUAUCAACUUUCGAUGUUUGGGUAUUGGCCAAACAUGGUUGCAACGGGUAACGGAGGGUUAGGGCUCGACCCCGGAGAAGGAGCCUGAGAAACGGCUACUACAUCCAAGGAAGGCAGCAGGCGCGCAAAUUACCCAAUCCCGACACGGGGAGGUAGUGACAAUAAAUACUGAUACAGGGCUCUUUUGGGUCUUGUAAUUGGAAUGAGUACAAUUUAAAUCCCUUAACGAGGAACAAUUGGAGGGCAAGUCUGGUGCCAGCAGCCGCGGUAAUUCCAGCUCCAAUAGCGUAUAUUAAAGUUGUUGUGGUUAAAAAGCUCGUAGUUGAACCUUGGGCCUGGCUGGCCGGUCCGCCUCACCGCGUGUACUGGUCCGGCCGGGCCUUUCCCUCUGUGGAACCCCAUGCCCUUCACUGGGUGUGGCGGGGAAACAGGACUUUUACUGUGAAAAAAAUUAGAGUGCUCCAGGCAGGCCUAUGCUCGAAAUACAUUAGCAUGGAAAUAAUAGAAUAGGACGUGUGGUUCUAUUUUGUUGGUUUCUAGGACCGCCGUAAUGAUUAAUAGGGACAG